UACGUAGGUCCCGAGCGUUGUCCGGAUUUAUUGGGCGUAAAGCGAGCGCAGGCGGUUUGAUAAGUCUGAAGUUAAAGGCUGUGGCUCAACCAUAGUUCGCUUUGGAAACUGUCAAACUUGAGUGCAGAAGGGGAGAGUGGAAUUCCAUGUGUAGCGGUGAAAUGCGUAGAUAUAUGGAGGACACCGGUGGCGAAAGCGGCUCUCUGGUCUGUAACUGACGCUGAGGCUCGAAAGCUGGGGAGCGAACAGGAUUAGAUAC
RNAcentral lists this ribosomal RNA (259 nucleotides) under uncultured Streptococcaceae bacterium. Its description in RNAcentral is "partial 16S ribosomal RNA". It matches the Rfam family "Bacterial small subunit ribosomal RNA", at positions 524 to 785 of the family's 1533-position model. Lineage: Bacteria; Bacillati; Bacillota; Bacilli; Lactobacillales; Streptococcaceae. The record is from RNAcentral.